AUGUGGGCAUCGCAGCCGCAGCCCAGCUGCCGCCCUCCUUCGCGUCCUGCCGUCGCCACGAACCCUCCCCGUAACAGGAGCUCCGCGGUCUUCCGCACGGCCGUGGGCGUUUUGGAGUCGUAUGCCUCCUGCACACAUCGUGGUUUCCACCAAGUCCACCGAAGGCCACCCUACAACAACUACCAAGUACCCCUUCGUUUCGUCUAA
Molecule: ribosomal RNA, 207 nt
Filed under: Triticum aestivum (bread wheat)
Lineage: Eukaryota; Viridiplantae; Streptophyta; Magnoliopsida; Poales; Poaceae
Description: partial small subunit ribosomal RNA
Source: RNAcentral